GGUCCAUUGGUGUAGUCCGGCCAAUCAUUUUACCCUCUCACGGUAAAGACUCGGGUUCAAAUCCCGGAUGGACCA
This 75-nucleotide transfer RNA is filed under the name Halobacteriales archaeon. Its description in RNAcentral is "tRNA-Glu". It matches the Rfam family "tRNA". Rfam says of the family: Transfer RNA (tRNA) molecules are approximately 80 nucleotides in length. Their secondary structure includes four short double-helical elements and three loops (D, anti-codon, and T loops). The record is from RNAcentral. Lineage: Archaea; Methanobacteriati; Methanobacteriota; Halobacteria; Halobacteriales.